RNAcentral lists this ribosomal RNA (617 nucleotides) under uncultured bacterium. Its description in RNAcentral is "bacterial SSU rRNA". It matches the Rfam family "Bacterial small subunit ribosomal RNA", at positions 338 to 951 of the family's 1533-position model. The record is from RNAcentral.
CCUACGGGAGGCAGCAGUGGGGAAUUUUGGACAAUGGGCGAAAGCCUGAUCCAGCAAUGCCGCGUGAGUGAAGAAGGCCUUCGGGUUGUAAAGCUCUUUUGUCAGGGAAGAAACGGUGAGAGCUAAUAUCUCUUGCUAAUGACGGUACCUGAAGAAUAAGCACCGGCUAACUACGUGCCAGCAGCCGCGGUAAUACGUAGGGUGCAAGCGUUAAUCGGAAUUACUGGGCGUAAAGCGUGCGCAGGCGGUUUUGUAAGUCUGAUGUGAAAUCCCCGGGCUCAACCUGGGAAUUGCAUUGGAGACUGCAAGGCUAGAAUCUGGCAGAGGGGGGUAGAAUUCCACGUGUAGCAGUGAAAUGCGUAGAUAUGUGGAGGAACACCGAUGGCGAAGGCAGCCCCCUGGGUCAAGAUUGACGCUCAUGCACGAAAGCGUGGGGAGCAAACAGGAUUAGAUACCCUGGUAGUCCACGCCCUAAACGAUGUCUACUAGUUNUCGGGUCUUAAUUGACUUGGUAACGCAGCUAACGCGUGAAGUAGACCGCCUGGGGAUACGGUCGCAAGNUUAAAACUCAAAGGAAUUGACCGGNNGAGAGNGCGAGGCGACGACGAGGGGAGAGG